AUCCCAUCUAUCGCAAAAAAAAAAAAAAAACACCAGAUCCCAUCGCCGCUGCCCUCGCACUCGCAUCCCUCCGCCGCCGCCCUCGCACAUCAAGCCUCCGCAGAUCCAUCCAUUUGCCGCCGCCCUCGCACAUGAAGCCGCCGCCGAUCCCUGUUCUACCUCGACGGGGGCCAUCGGUCGUCUCGCUACAACUUGAAGCUGCAACUUGGGCGGUGCCAUGGCUCCUUGUGCAGAGAAAACAAGACAAGGGGGAGGUCAGGGAGGAGCAGCAGGAGGAGUGAAGGAAAAGAAGGCGGCGGAGAAGGCCCUGCUCGCCGGAGAGGUCGAUCGGCGGCGACGAACUCCGAGCCGCACGUUCUGGCGACGGAGGGCUGGAACCGGUCGAUGGGGAGACCUGUAGGCGCGCGGCGGCGGCGGUUUGGGACGGCGGCGAAGCUGCAACUCGGACGGCGCCAUGGCUUCCUAUGCAAAGAAAACGAGACGAGGGGGAGGUCAGGGAGGAGCAGCAGGAGGAGUGAAGAAAAAAGGCGGCGGAGAAGGCCCUGCUCGCCGGAGAGCUCGCCUAGCGCCGACGCUCGCUGUAGCGGGAGUAUGCUCGGGCGUACCGGCAUGAGAGCUGCAGUUGGUGGGAAUUGGCUGCGGGCAUAGGAACCGUGGAUUGAUCCCACGUACACACAGCACUUCUCGGCUCUACGAAAUCCAUGGCUCAAGUGCGUGUCCCGGGAUCCGAGCCUCUAUCACUUCUUCAGUUCCGGCUUGCUUCAAGAACAAAAAAUUUCUGUGUGAAAGACCACUAGCAGAACUGAAUGUUGUAUGCACCUUCAUCUUGCAGUCCAAUUACUUGGAUUAUUUGGGACAAAUUCCUUUCUUUUUAACCGUACUACAGUUAGAUAGCAGGAUAAGGAUACAUGCUUGUACUGCCUCUAUCGUAAAUUGCACAUGAGUUGAUCCCGAGUUUAGACAGCUAGCAAUCAAUCGCUCUGAAGGUAUUGCUCUUUUAUUUUAUUUGAGAUCAUGAGGAAAUAGGUUCAGAUAUGUGACUACUCUAUGCUGUACUAACUAUUCUAUGUUGUACUGACUAUUCUAUGCGACCACCAACAGCAAGGGUUCUCUCAGCACUGUAGCGGCUUGCUCGAGUCGUCCACCACCGACCGCCGCUGGCGCAAGCUGAAACUCACCCGGGGGAGCACUGGCUGGCGCGACAGUGGCGGCGAGGACCAGGUCAAGGCUUCGCAAUAAGCGCCGGAUCAAGCCAUGAAACAUGUUGACGGAUUAGUUUUCCACCUCAUGUUUACUUCACCAUGUAGUUGGGUGUAACGCGAGUUCUGCUCUUCUUCUAGGCUGUUGGGAGGAGCGACCCUGCCAUCACGUGGAGAACGAGCGGCUCCUGGUGCUCGACAAGGUGCCUGAGCAAGGCAUAUUAGUGGACGUGGCUCGACCCUGAACGUGCUUUCCCCAAAUUUGUUCAGUGAGCAGUGCUAUCAUAUUCUCCUUGCUCUUAUCAUGGAAAGGUUUGGAGUUUGGGUCUUUUUAGUUCUCGCGUUCGGACCAAAAUGAGUGGGGGAGUGGAGAUUGGCAUGAAUAAUUGCAAUUUUUAACACAAGGUGAGACAAUGAAGGAUUUGUUGUCAAGAUAUCAAAAGUUGCUCAUAUCAACUGGAAAUAUAGAAGUUAUAUUCAGUCAUGCAGACAUAUAGUUUUUUUUUUUGCAUAUGAAAAUAGAUUGUCAAUGUAUAUUAUUUGGCUCAAUAAAUGGCGUUGUGAAUCACUUCGAAUUGUUUGUAAUAAUGACCAUUUUUUCAUACAACACCUUAAUAUGUAUAGCUUAUAAGGCUUUUAGUUUGUGAAUAAUUUGUUCAAAGAGUCACACUGUAUCAUCACACAAGGCAACGAAAUAUUAAGGUGAAGACUUUGUCAUC
Triticum aestivum (bread wheat) is the source of this 1918-nucleotide long non-coding RNA. RefSeq lists it as uncharacterized. NCBI's taxonomy places the organism in Eukaryota, Viridiplantae, Streptophyta, Magnoliopsida, Poales, Poaceae. The record is from RefSeq and is a predicted model, not a curated record. The transcript has 3 exons.